CGCCUCAUUCCCCCCUCCCCCCCUUUUUUUUUGUGCUCUGCUUGCUGCUCAAAUUCCCAUACGAACAAAAGCUUCCCCACUCUAGACCAGAGGCCUCCACUGCUUCCUCUCUAUCGUUCGCGUCGCUCAAUCUCGUUGCUGAUGAGCCUCCAUUGCCAGUCUUUCCAAGUCCCAUACGAACAAGGAACAAAAAGAAGCCCUAAAUUCCCACUUCUCCGAUUCUAACAAAGAGGCAUUUACCCGGCCAAGGAAAAAGAAAACUCACUCGAUUCCACCUCACUCGUUCCUCUCUUUCCCCCAAAUUCCAAAAUUUUCCCAUUAUGCUAUGAUGUCCAAAUUGAUUUGCUUUGCUUGACCGGAAGGUUAUGCUCUGAUUCCGGCCUCGACAUGAUUAGACUAGGUCGUGGAAGGCAGAUCGAAGGCACGUGAAGCUCGGUUACCCAAGGAGGUCGUGGAAGGAAGAUGCUCGGAGCCAGCCUCGACAUGAUUUUGUGAAGAUUAGGCCGUGGGAAGAAGAUCGAAGGCCCGUGAAGCUCUCUUCCUACGCCAAGCUCCGUUACCCAAAGAGGAAUCCGCUUCUGGUUCUUGACUGUUGCUCGGCGGUUUCAAGAGGAAGACGUUGGCGCUUUGGGAACAUGGCUGGUGUUUUUCAAGUAAUGACAUUUGGAGUUCGGGCGUUGGAUAAGAAGGAUCUUGAUCCUUCUUUCAAGCUAAGCUUGCAAAGAUUGCCACGGCCGAGAUGAUUUCCUCCAAGGUAAAGCCGAAAGGGAAUGAAUUCUGGAUUUGAUUAUCAGUUGAUUGAUUUAUUUGUACUUGUAGGAGUAUUAUUUUUGAAGCUAUGUUGGCAGUUUAUUACUUUGUUAGCUCUUGUUUGAUUAUAAAUUUUGGAGAAGAAUGGUUAGACUGUUGGCUGAAGUCCUUCCACGGCAGGAGAAAGGCAGGAUAACGUCCCCGUUGUUGGACCGGAACAAGAAACGAAAGCUAGUCGUCAUUUGCCUAAGGUUUAAUGAAGUUUUCUAUUCUUAUAUUUUCAUAAGUUGAUAAAAAAAAUGGUGUUACUAUUAUGCCAUUCUUACUUUUGGGCGAAUAUUAUGCAUCCAUAACUCAUUUGGAGUUAAAUUCUGUUGAUUGUUCCAUUCAUUCAUAAUAUUGAAUUUGCUCCCUUAGUAAGGUCUUCUAUGUACAAGCAUAACAAUCAAGAUAAAACCAAUUAUAAAGUUAGGGAUUUUAAGACGUUUUGGUUACUCUUUUAUAUUGUUGAGCUUUGAAGCUAAAGGUCUUUGGACUUUCUUAUACAGCCUUUAACAGAAGUGUUGUUGAUGAACUGUCUUAUAUCGCCUUAUGUGUUGUAUACACCCAUAG
Long non-coding RNA from Morus notabilis, 1362 nucleotides. RefSeq lists it as uncharacterized. The record is from RefSeq and is a predicted model, not a curated record. The transcript has 4 exons. Lineage: Eukaryota; Viridiplantae; Streptophyta; Magnoliopsida; Rosales; Moraceae.